This 274-nucleotide ribosomal RNA is filed under the name uncultured bacterium. RNAcentral's name for it is "partial 16S ribosomal RNA". It matches the Rfam family "Bacterial small subunit ribosomal RNA", at positions 523 to 796 of the family's 1533-position model. The record is from RNAcentral.
AUACGAAGGGUGCAAGCGUUAUUCGGAUUUACUGGGCGUAAAGCGUACGUAGGCGGUUAUUUAAGUCAGAUGUGAAAGCCCCGGGCUUAACUUGGGAACUGCAUUUGAAACUGGGUAACUAGAGUUUAGUAGAGGGGAGUGGAAUUUCAGGUGUAGCGGUGAAAUGCGUAGAGAUCUGAAGGAACACCAGUGGCGAAGGCGACUCCCUGGACUAAAACUGACGCUGAGGUACGAAAGCGUGGGUAGCAAACAGGAUUAGAAACCCUAGUAGUCC